Molecule: ribosomal RNA, 279 nt
Filed under: uncultured methanogenic archaeon
Lineage: Archaea; Methanobacteriati; Methanobacteriota
Description: partial 16S ribosomal RNA
Rfam family: Archaeal small subunit ribosomal RNA
Source: RNAcentral
CCCUAGGGGGCGCAGCAGGCGAGAAAACUUUACAAUGCGAGAAAUCGUGAUAAGGGAACCCCGAGUGCCCGUAAAUUCGGGCUUUCCAUCAGUUUAAAAAACUUGUGAAGAAAGGGCCGGGCAAGACCGGUGCCAGCCGCCGCGGUAAUACCGGCGGCUCGAGUGGUGGCCGCUAUUACUGGGUUUAAAGGGUUCGUAGCUGGGCUGUUAAAUCUCCUGGGAAAUCUAUCGGCUCAACCGUUGGUCCCCAGGAGAUACUGUUAGGCUAGGACCGAGAGU